RNAcentral lists this ribosomal RNA (930 nucleotides) under Flavobacterium sp. RSB5.5. RNAcentral describes it as "bacterial SSU rRNA". It matches the Rfam family "Bacterial small subunit ribosomal RNA", at positions 57 to 994 of the family's 1533-position model. Lineage: Bacteria; Pseudomonadati; Bacteroidota; Flavobacteriia; Flavobacteriales; Flavobacteriaceae. The record is from RNAcentral.
GCAGUCGAGGGGUAUAGUUCUUCGGAGCUAGAGACCGGCGCACGGGUGCGUAACGCGUAUGCAAUCUACCUUUCACAGAGGGAUAGCCCAGAGAAAUUUGGAUUAAUACCUCAUAGUAUUAUUGGGUGGCAUCACUUAAUAAUUAAAGUCACAACGGUGAAAGAUGAGCAUGCGUCCCAUUAGCUAGUUGGUAAGGUAACGGCUUACCAAGGCUACGAUGGGUAGGGGUCCUGAGAGGGAGAUCCCCCACACUGGUACUGAGACACGGACCAGACUCCUACGGGAGGCAGCAGUGAGGAAUAUUGGACAAUGGGCGCAAGCCUGAUCCAGCCAUGCCGCGUGCAGGAUGACGGUCCUAUGGAUUGUAAACUGCUUUUGUACGAGAAGAAACACUCCAACGUGUUGGAGCUUGACGGUAUCGUAAGAAUAAGGAUCGGCUAACUCCGUGCCAGCAGCCGCGGUAAUACGGAGGAUCCAAGCGUUAUCCGGAAUCAUUGGGUUUAAAGGGUCCGUAGGCGGUUUAGUAAGUCAGUGGUGAAAGCCCAUCGCUCAACGGUGGAACGGCCAUUGAUACUGCUGAACUUGAAUUAUUAGGAAGUAACUAGAAUAUGUAGUGUAGCGGUGAAAUGCUUAGAGAUUACAUGGAAUACCAAUUGCGAAGGCAGGUUACUACUAAUGGAUUGACGCUGAUGGACGAAAGCGUGGGUAGCGAACAGGAUUAGAUACCCUGGUAGUCCACGCCGUAAACGAUGGAUACUAGCUGUUGGAAGCAAUUUCAGUGGCUAAGCGAAAGUGAUAAGUAUCCCACCUGGGGAGUACGUUCGCAAGAAUGAAACUCAAAGGAAUUGACGGGGGCCCGCACAAGCGGUGGAGCAUGUGGUUUAAUUCGAUGAUACGCGAGGAACCUUACCAAGGCUUAAAUGUAGAUGA